AACGAACGCUGGCGGCAUGCCUAACACAUGCAAGUCGAACGAGACCUUCGGGUCUAGUGGCGCACGGGUGCGUAACGCGUGGGAACCUGCCCUUAGGUUCGGAAUAACUCCCCGAAAGGGGUGCUAAUACCGGAUAAUGUCUUCGGACCAAAGAUUUAUCGCCUUUGGAUGGGCCCGCGUUGGAUUAGCUAGUUGGUAGGGUAAAAGCCUACCAAGGCGAAGAUCCAUAGCUGGUCUGAGAGGAUGAUCAGCCACACUGGGACUGAGACACGGCCCAGACUCCUACGGGAGGCAGCAGUGGGGAAUAUUGGACAAUGGGCGAAAGCCUGAUCCAGCACUGCCGCGUGAGUGAUGAAGGCCUUAGGGUUGUAAAGCUCUUUUCCCCGGGAUGAUAAUGACAGUACCGGGAGAAUAAGCUCCGGCUAACUCCGU
This 432-nucleotide ribosomal RNA is filed under the name uncultured bacterium. RNAcentral describes it as "partial 16S ribosomal RNA". It matches the Rfam family "Bacterial small subunit ribosomal RNA", at positions 29 to 506 of the family's 1533-position model. The record is from RNAcentral.